GAUGAAGAACGUAGCGAAAUGCGAUAAGUAGUGUGAAUUGCAGAAUUCCGUGAAUCAUCGAAUCUUUGAACGCACAUUGCGCCUUCUGGUAUUCCGGAAGGCAUGCCUGUUCGAGAGUCAUUAACAACCGUUUCGAUCCCUUUCUUUCAGAAAUUACAAAGAGGAAAAGGGUUUGGUUAUGGUGGAGGAGGGAAAGGGAGCGUUUAGCCUGUAAAAAAAGAGGCUGUGUUCCGCCUCCCCCCCAAAAUUGUACAGGCGGUCGUGUGCGCCCACGCAUCGAGGUGUUGUAAAAGCUGCCACGGCACUUUUCACCUGUGCAGUGCGAGAUUGGCCAGCCGGUUUAAAAACCCCUCCAAACAAUCAAAGGUUGACCUCGGAUCAGGUAGGGAUAUCCGCUGAACUUAAGCAUAUCAAUAAGCGGAGGA
RNAcentral lists this unclassified non-coding RNA (425 nucleotides) under soil metagenome. RNAcentral's name for it is "partial contains 5.8S ribosomal RNA, internal transcribed spacer 2, and large subunit ribosomal RNA". The stretch from base 1 to 120 matches the Rfam family "5.8S ribosomal RNA", at positions 35 to 154 of the family's 154-position model. The record is from RNAcentral.